UGAUAGUUUCCUGUAUCCCUCACUCCCCUGCAACGGGAUUGCUGGGGUCAGCCCUCUGCUGGCGGCCCCUUGUGAGACUUCACAGAGGGCCUCUCCUUGAGCCCAGGCAGGCCCUAGAGCAGAUCCAUCUUACCAGCAGAGUGAGGUUUCAUUCUAGUGCGGAAAAUGAAUAUUUUGGGAUAUAUUGUUAUUAUAACAAAGUCAGGUGUUCAUGCUUUCCGGUACCUGCUAAACAAAAUUACUUGUUAUUUUGGAAGGUGAUACCAACUCCAUCCCGAAGUACCUCAGUUUUGGGCCCUGGUCAGUAACUGUUUCCUUGUUUAUGUUUUGGUUUUUUUAUUUGGGGGGGGGAACAACAGUAGAACCUUGUUCAGCAAUAGGUUAGAAGUGAAACUAAGUGAAGAAAAGAAAUAGAUUAAAUUUAAAGUAAUACUUAACAUUGUGGCCUGGAGCUAGAUAAUGGGGUUAGGAUAGGGGAGAGGAUGAGGGGGGGUUAGAGGUUAGAGAGCAGCUUAGCUAAUCUUGUUAGGAUCAUUUUA
This 539-nucleotide long non-coding RNA is filed under the name Phascolarctos cinereus (koala). Its description in RNAcentral is "lncRNA (ENSPCIG00000036646.1)". Lineage: Eukaryota; Metazoa; Chordata; Mammalia; Diprotodontia; Phascolarctidae. The record is from RNAcentral.